UGCGAUAUAUAAAUAUUUUGAUAUAAUUUAAUAUUUUGUGUGUAGGUAGUUGAAAAUAACUGAACUGUAAAUGCUCUCCCUGGCUCUCUGCUUUCUCGCGCCUAGGUACAUUUACAUUUUACAUUUAGUCAUUUAGCAGACGCUUUUGUCCAAAGCGACGUACAAGGGAGAGAAUAUUCAAGCUACGAGCAAUAGAACCUGGUGUAACAAUAAAUAAAUACUACUUUACAUAAGAAAUAUAACAAAAUGAAAUAAAAAAGAAAGAAAGGUAAUGUAUAUAGCACUAGGCAAAGGGCAAUAGGUAAUGUAUAUAGCACCACUAGGCAAAGGGGCAAUCCUGGGCAAUCACUCUGCUUCAUCCAAGCCCUCCCUGAAGGACCCCCCUGAGAUAUGGGCACCUGGCCUGCAUUCACCGCCGCUACGCUACUUGCUGUAAUUUGAAUACGGAUCAG
Clupea harengus (Atlantic herring) is the source of this 452-nucleotide long non-coding RNA. Lineage: Eukaryota; Metazoa; Chordata; Actinopteri; Clupeiformes; Clupeidae. The record is from Ensembl.